This 460-nucleotide ribosomal RNA is filed under the name uncultured bacterium. RNAcentral describes it as "partial 16S ribosomal RNA". It matches the Rfam family "Bacterial small subunit ribosomal RNA", at positions 338 to 795 of the family's 1533-position model. The record is from RNAcentral.
CCUACGAGCGGCUGCAGUGAGGAAUAUUGGUCAAUGGGCGCGAGCCUGAACCCGCCAAGUAGCGUGAAGGAUGACUGCCCUACGGGUUGUAAACUUCUUUUAUAAAGGAAUAAAGUGAGGCACGUGUGCCUUUUUGUAUGUACUUUAUGAAUAAGGAUCGGCUAACUCCGUGCCAGCAGCCGCGGUAAUACGGAGGAUACGAGCGUUAUCCGGAUUUAUUGGGUUUAAAGUGAGCGUAGAUGGGUUGUUAAGUCAGUUGUGAAAGUUUGCGGCUCAACCGUAAAAUUGCAAUUGAUACUGGCAGUCUUGAGUACAGUUGAGGUAGGCGGAAUUCGUGGUGUAGCGGUGAAAUGCUUAGAUAUCACGAAGAACUCCGAUUGCGAAGGCAGCUUACUAAACUGCCACUGACAUUGAUGUUCGAAAGUGUGGGUAUCAAACAGGAUUAGAUACCCGGGUAGUC